This 399-nucleotide ribosomal RNA is filed under the name uncultured bacterium. RNAcentral describes it as "bacterial SSU rRNA". It matches the Rfam family "Bacterial small subunit ribosomal RNA", at positions 357 to 773 of the family's 1533-position model. The record is from RNAcentral.
GGGAAUAUUGGACAAUGGGCGCAAGCCUGAUCCAGCCAUGCCGCGUGAGUGAUGACGGCCUUAGGGUUGUAAAGCUCUUUCGCACGCGACGAUAAUGACGGUAGCGUGAGAAGAAGCCCCGGCUAACUUCGUGCCAGCAGCCGCGGUAAUACGAAGGGGGCUAGCGUUGUUCGGAAUCACUGGGCGUAAAGGGUGCGUAGGCGGAUUCUUAAGUCAGGGGUGAAAUCCCGAGGCUCAACCUCGGAACUGCCUUUGAUACUGGGGAUCUUGAGUCCGGAAGAGGUGAGUGGAACUGCGAGUGUAGAGGUGAAAUUCGUAGAUAUUCGCAAGAACACCGGUGGCGAAGGCGGCUCACUGGUCCGGAACUGACGCUGAGGCACGACAGCGUGGGGAGCAAAC